UACAUGCAGUCGAACGCGUUGGCCCAAUUGAUUGAUGGUGCUUGCACCUGAUUGAUUUUGGUCGCCAACGAGUGGCGGACGGGUGAGUAACACGUAGGUAACCUGCCCAGAAGCGGGGGACAACAUUUGGAAACAGAUGCUAAUACCGCAUAACAGCGUUGUUCGCAUGAACAACGCUUAAAAGAUGGCUUCUCGCUAUCACUUCUGGAUGGACCUGCGGUGCAUUAGCUUGUUGGUGGGGUAACGGCCUACCAAGGCGAUGAUGCAUAGCCGAGUUGAGAGACUGAUCGGCCACAAUGGGACUGAGACACGGCCCAUACUCCUACGGGAGGCAGCAGUAGGGAAUCUUCCACAAUGGGCGCAAGCCUGAUGGAGCAACACCGCGUGAGUGAAGAAGGGUUUCGGCUCGUAAAGCUCUGUUGUUAAAGAAGAACACGUAUGAGAGUAACUGUUCAUACGUUGACGGUAUUUAACCAGAAAGUCACGGCUAACUACGUGCCAGCAGCCGCGGUAAUACGUAGGUGGCAAGCGUUAUCCGGAUUUAUUGGGCGUAAAGAGAGUGCAGGCGGUUUUCUAAGUCUGAUGUGAAAGCCUUCGGCUUAACCGGAGAAGUGCAUCGGAAACUGGAUAACUUGAGUGCAGAAGAGGGUAGUGGAACUCCAUGUGUAGCGGUGGAAUGCGUAGAUAUAUGGAAGAACACCAGUGGCGAAGGCGGCUACCUGGUCUGCAACUGACGCUGAGACUCGAAAGCAUGGGUAGCGAACAGGAUUAGAUACCCUGGUAGUCCAUGCCGUAAACGAUGAGUGCUAGGUGUUGGAGGGUUUCCGCCCUUCAGUGCCGGAGCUAACGCAUUAAGCACUCCGCCUGGGGAGUACGACCGCAAGGUUGAAACUCAAAGGAAUUGACGGGGGCCCGCACAAGCGGUGGAGCAU
Molecule: ribosomal RNA, 932 nt
Filed under: Limosilactobacillus fermentum
Lineage: Bacteria; Bacillati; Bacillota; Bacilli; Lactobacillales; Lactobacillaceae
Description: bacterial SSU rRNA
Rfam family: Bacterial small subunit ribosomal RNA
Source: RNAcentral